This 449-nucleotide ribosomal RNA is filed under the name uncultured bacterium. RNAcentral's name for it is "partial 16S ribosomal RNA". It matches the Rfam family "Bacterial small subunit ribosomal RNA", at positions 29 to 523 of the family's 1533-position model. The record is from RNAcentral.
AACGAACGCUGGCGGCAUGCCUAACACAUGCAAGUCGAACGAAGCCUUCGGGCUUAGUGGCGCACGGGUGCGUAACGCGUGGGAAUCUGCCCUUGGGUUCGGAAUAACAGUUAGAAAUGACUGCUAAUACCGGAUGAUGACGUAAGUCCAAAGAUUUAUCGCCCAAGGAUGAGCCCGCGUAGGAUUAGGUAGUUGGUGAGGUAAAGGCUCACCAAGCCGACGAUCCUUAGCUGGUCUGAGAGGAUGAUCAGCCACACUGGGACUGAGACACGGCCCAGACUCCUACGGGAGGCAGCAGUGGGGAAUAUUGGACAAUGGGCGAAAGCCUGAUCCAGCAAUGCCGCGUGAGUGAUGAAGGCCUUAGGGUUGUAAAGCUCUUUUACCCGGGAUGAUAAUGACAGUACCGGGAGAAUAAGCUCCGGCUAACUCCGUGCCAGCAGCCGCAGUAA